Molecule: ribosomal RNA, 870 nt
Filed under: Priestia aryabhattai
Lineage: Bacteria; Bacillati; Bacillota; Bacilli; Caryophanales; Bacillaceae
Description: partial 16S ribosomal RNA
Rfam family: Bacterial small subunit ribosomal RNA
Source: RNAcentral
CCUUCAUGGAGAUGAUUGAAAGAUGGGUUUGGUCUAUCACUUACAGAUGGGCCCGCGGUGCAUAAGCUAGUUGGUGAGGGUAACGGCUCACCAAGGCCACGAUGCAUAGCCGACCUGAGAGGGUGAUCGGCCACACUGGGACUGAGACACGGCCCAGACUCCUACGGGAGGCAGCAGUAGGGAAUCUUCCGCAAUGGACGAAAGUCUGACGGAGCAACGCCGCGUGAGUGAUGAAGGCUUUCGGGUCGUAAAACUCUGUUGUUAGGGAAGAACAAGUACNAGAGUAACUGCUNGUACCUUGACGGUACCUAACCAGAAAGCCACGGCUAACUACGUGCCAGCAGCCGCGGUAAUACGUAGGUGGCAAGCGUUAUCCGGAAUUAUUGGGCGUAAAGCGCGCGCAGGCGGUUUCUUAAGUCUGAUGUGAAAGCCCACGGCUCAACCGUGGAGGGUCAUUGGAAACUGGGGAACUUGAGUGCAGAAGAGAAAAGCGGANUUCCACGUGNAGCGGUGAANUGCGUAGAGAUGUGGAGGAACACCAGUGGCGANGGCGGCUUUUUGGUCUGUAACUGACGNUGAGGCGCGAAAGCGUGGGGAGCAANCAGGAUUAGAUACCNUGGUNGUCCACGCCGUAAACGAUGAGUGCUAAGUGUUAGAGGGUUUCCGCCCUUUAGUGCNGCAGNUAACNCAUUAAGCANUCCGCCUGGGGAGUACGGUCGCAAGACUGAAACUCAAAGGAAUUGACGGGGGCCCGCNCAANCGGUGGAGCAUGUGGUUUAAUUNGAAGCAACGNGAAGANCCUUACCAGGUCUUGACAUCCUCUGACAACUCUAGAGAUAGAGCGUUCCCCUUCGGGGGACAGAGUGACAG